RNAcentral lists this long non-coding RNA (1511 nucleotides) under Bos indicus x Bos taurus (hybrid cattle). Its description in RNAcentral is "lncRNA (ENSBIXG00000012131.1)". The record is from RNAcentral. Lineage: Eukaryota; Metazoa; Chordata; Mammalia; Artiodactyla; Bovidae.
UGCUUCCAAACCAUGUGACUUGGACUCGUUUGAAAAAGAUUAUAUUUCAUUCCCCCUCCCCCAUUCCCGUGUUUUGUCCCUAAGCAUCCUUUCCCCACUUCCCUAGGGCACUCGCCUUUCCGGAAAUGCCCUCGCCCAGCGGGCAGCCUCCACAUCCCGAGGAGGUCUCAGCCUCACCCUCCCAGCUGCCACGCCCUGACCUGGUCCUCACCAGCUUCUGCCCACCCAGAGCCUUUCUGGGGCACAAUGUCAAGCUCUUCAUGGAGUGGAGGAUGUAGGCAUGGAUCAGAGAAUCGCCAAAGUGUGAUCCAGCCAUGAUAAAGAGGUGCCUGAUGCUCUCAAAAUUGAAGAUGGUGAUCUGACCUGCUGUGAAGCAGUCAGGGAGGAUACAGCUGUUUCAGCACCUACUCUGUGCCCAGCUCAGAGGAUGGAAAGGUGAGCAACCCCCAGCGUGGUCCGCAGCCAUGGUCUCACGGAGAAGCGAGACUCCUCAGUGGGCAGGUUCACAGAAAACCAGACAGAACAAAAUGGGCAAAGAGGACCGUCCUCACAGAGGCCUCUCUUCGGCAGGAAGGCAGACGGUCAGAUACGCCAAGCCCACAGUUGCUAUCCCUGGCUGGGUGAUGAUCAAGAGACCAGGCAGUAACCAGGCGAUGUAGGUAAGGGUCCCAGGAGAGAUGCGCCUGGUGAGCUCGCAGAGGCAGCCCCUAACCCAUCUAGACUGGAGUUGGGGGCAGGGACAAGUUGCCCAAGAGAUCCAGCCCCUGCUGGGUCAAAGCCUGUGAGCGGGAGAUGGCUGGGUGAAGGAGGCAGAGGUCAAAUAGAGGGAAGCACAGAGGAGGAGCUGGAGGGGACAGUUGAGACCCUGGGCAGAGGGCCUUACACACGGGCCACAGAGUCUGGACUUUGUCCCCGCAGGCAGUGGGGAGCCAUGGAAAGCUUCCAGCCGGGAAACAGCCCGGCCAGAUUCCGGUGCCAUAGCUAGUGACACGUCUGUACCAAAGCAUAGGCCCUGAGGGUCUCUCAGCCCCUCCUAGGGCUGGGGGCCUUGCACGUGGUUUGUCCCUGGGUACUGCCUCUUCUUUCUGCAGCAGCAGUCCUCGGACGUGUCUGCGAAGGGGAGAGGUGCACCCCCGCCCCAGUCUCCAGAGAGAAGCCUGUGUCCACUCUAGAAAUGAAGCAAACAACAGCCACUGUUAAGGCAGGCAGCCCUAUGUGCCCAGAAGAUGCCCAUUUUCCACUCACCAGGCUGCCCAGACAGCUCAGAGGGUGAGAGGUCUUCUACAACAUAGCUCCCUGUGCCCCCCCAGCUCCCCCUACUAGAGGGUCGGUGCCUCUCUGCACAGAUGGUAACUGGAUGGCUGCAUCGUGCCGGGUGGAAACGCAUUUACAGUAUGGGACGCUGGUGCUCUGACACAAGCAGGGGUCUAGGGUAGAGAGCCCGAGGGCAGCCGGAAGGGGACCCCGGGGCGGCUGAGGGGAGGGGAGCAGCAUGAGGACUCCCCAGAGAG